AUCAAGUACCCGUGGGGAAAGUUGCAAAGAACUUUGAAGAGAGAGUUCAAGAGUACGUGAAACCAUCGUGGAGUAAUCGGAUGGAGUCGAUUAUAUUGCUGACAUUCAUACUUCGCGUUGCUGCUUGGCGUGAUGCUUCGAGGCUGCUGUCUGUGCUUCGGUAUUGCGUCGUAGUGGUAAGUGCGGUGUGCAUUUGUUGGUGAUAACGCGGAGACGCUCGUUAUCCUCUUCUGAACUGUGUAGUGUGGCCCUUGCUUCGGCUCGGUAACCUGCUAUGCGGGGAGGUUGAUAUGGGUGGUGAGUUGUAAGCAGGCUGGCCUUUGCGCUGCGUUCGUGGUGCUGUGGGCGUUGAAGUUGUGAGUGUUACAUUCGCGGCUGAUGCGUCUACGGUUGCUGCGUUCGUGGAGCGGCUGUCCUCUCCGUGGGAACGUCGACUACCCAUUUGACCCGUCUUGAAACACGGACCAAGAAGUUUAGCAAGUGCGCGAGUCAAUGGGUUGUAAACCUACUGGCGAAAUGAAAGUAAAGGCUUGCUUGCAGGCUGACAUGAGAUCCGUGCGAAUGCGCGGCGCAUCAUGGCCCCAUGCCGAUUGCUUGCAAUGGUGUGGCGGUAGAGCGUACUUGCUGAGACCCGAAAGAUGGUGAUCUAUGCUUGAGCAGGAUGAAGCCAGAGGAAACUCUGGUGGAAGUCCGAAGCGUUUCUGACGUGCAAAUCGAUCGUCUGACUGA
Molecule: ribosomal RNA, 729 nt
Filed under: Oigolaimella attenuata
Lineage: Eukaryota; Metazoa; Nematoda; Chromadorea; Rhabditida; Diplogasteridae
Description: partial 28S ribosomal RNA
Rfam family: Eukaryotic large subunit ribosomal RNA
Source: RNAcentral